Molecule: ribosomal RNA, 1518 nt
Filed under: Bacillus thuringiensis
Lineage: Bacteria; Bacillati; Bacillota; Bacilli; Caryophanales; Bacillaceae
Description: bacterial SSU rRNA
Rfam family: Bacterial small subunit ribosomal RNA
Source: RNAcentral
CGAUUCUAUCGCUUGGACGAGUUUGUCCAGGGCGUCGGGUUGAGAUGCUUGCUCUAUCAAGUUAGCGGCGGACGGUUGAGUAACACGUGGGUAACCUGCCCAUAAGACUGGGAUAACUCCGGGAAACCGGGGCUAAUACCGGAUAACAUUUUGAACUGCAUGGUUCGAAAUUGAAAGGCGGCUUCGGCUGUCACUUAUGGAUGGACCCGCGUCGCAUUAGCUAGUUGGUGAGGUAACGGCUCACCAAGGCAACGAUGCGUAGCCGACCUGAGAGGGUGAUCGGCCACACUGGGGUGUAGACAAGGUCCUAACGGGCAUGGGGAUUUGCAGUAAGGACCAUCUCGCUAUGGACGAAAGUCCUGACGCAGCAUCGCCGCCGUGAGUUGAUGAAGGCAUUCGGGUCGUAAAACUGCUGUUGUUAGGGAAGAACAAGUGCUAGUUGAAUAAGCUGGCAGCUUGACGGUACCUAACCAGAAAGACCACGGCUAACUACGUGCCAGCAGCCGCGGUAAUACGUAGGUGGCUAAGCGUUAUCCGGAAGUUAUUGGGCGUAAAGCGCGCGCAGGUGGUUUCUUAAGUCUGAUGUGAAAGCCCACGGCUCAACCGUGGAGGGUCAUUGGAAACUGGGAGACUUGAGUGCAGAAGAGGAAAGUGGAAUUCCAUGUGUAGCGGUGAAAUGCGUAGAGAUAUGGAGGAACACCAGUGGCGAAGGUCGACUUUCUGGUCUGUAACUGACACUGAGGCGCGAAAGCGUGGGGAGCAAACAGGAUUAGAUACCCUGGUAGUCCACGCCGUAAACGAUGAGUGCUAAGUGUUAGAGGGUUUCCGCCCUUUAGUGCUGAAGUUAACGCAUUAAGCACUCCGCCUGGGGUAGUACGGCCGCAAGGCUGAAACUCAAAGGAAUUGACGGGGGCCCGCACAAGCCGGUGGAGCAUGUGGUCUAAUUCGAAGCAACGCGAAGAACCUUGAUCACGUCUUGACAUCCUCUGAAUACCCUAGAGGAUAGGGCUCCUCCUUCGGGAGCAGAGUGGACAGGGGGUGCAUGUCUGUCGUCAGCUCGUGUCAGUGAGAGUGUUGGGCUUAAGUCCCAGCAACGAGGCGCAACCCUUUAUCUUAGUCGCCAUCAUUACGUCGGCCACAUCUUAAGGUAACUGCAGGUAACAAACGGGAUGAAGGUCCGGAUUGAGGAAAAUAAUCAUCAUGCCCCUUAUGACCUGGGCUACACACGUGCUACAAUGGACGGUACAAAGAGCUGCAAGACCGCGAGGUGGAGCUAAUCUCAUAAAACCGUUCUCAGUUCGGAUUGUAGGCUGCAACUCGCCUACAUGAAGCUGGAAUCGCUAGUAAUCGCGGAUCAGCAUGCCGCGGUGAAUACGUUCCCGGGCCUUGUACACACCGCCCGUCACACCACGAGAGUUUGUAACACCCGAAGUCGGUGGGGUAACCUUUUUGGAGCCAGCACGCUGUAUCGGUGGGUACAGAUGGAGCACCUCAGUAAGACUGUGCAUACUAGACCAA